GAUGGUGAGCUUGAAAUGGAAGAUGUGUCUGGUCACCCAAAAGAUGAAAGACCUUUAUUUGCAGAUGAUGUGAACCAGUCUGGCUCUGAUAGAACCCUGGAAUCAUGUUUAGAUAAUAUAUCUGAUUUGCCUCCUCUACCUAUUGGAUCCCCUCCAUUACCUCCUUGUUCUCCUCCUCCCACUCCACCUUUGCCUUGUGGAAUCCUGUUUAGAUAAUAUAUCUGAUUUGCCUCCUCUACCUAUUGGAUCCCCUCCAUUACCUCCUUGUUCUCCUCCUCCCACUCCACCUUUGCCUUCUUCACCCCUUCUAUCACCUGCGCCACCUCCACCUCCAUCAUCUCCAUUGCCACCUCCACCACCACCACCACCACUUCCUAUAUCACAACCCCCACCACCUCCAUCUCAGCCGCAUACUUUCCCUUCACU
This 426-nucleotide long non-coding RNA is filed under the name Nicotiana benthamiana. Its description in RNAcentral is "long non-coding RNA (NBEN_LNC021108)". The record is from RNAcentral. Lineage: Eukaryota; Viridiplantae; Streptophyta; Magnoliopsida; Solanales; Solanaceae.